GGCCUGCGUCCGAUUAGCUCGUUGGUGGGGUAACGGCUCACCAAGGCGACGAUCGGUAGGUGGUCUGAGAGGACGAUCACCCAGACUGGGACUGAGACACGGCCCAGACUCCUACGGGAGGCAGCAGUCGGGAAUUUUGCCCAAUGGACGAAAGUCUGAGGCAGCAACGCCGCGUGAGGGAUGAAGGCCUUCGGGUUGUAAACCUCUUUUCUCAGGGACGAUAAUGACGGUACCUGAGGAAUAAGUCACGGCUAACUACGUGCCAGCAGCCGCGGUAAUACGUAGGUGGCAAGCGUUGUCCGGAUUUACUGGGCGUAAAGAGCGCGCAGGCGGUCGUUCAAGUCGAGUGUGAAAGCCCCCGGCUCAACUGGGGAGGGUCACUCGAUACUGAUCGACUUGAAGGCAGGAGAGGGAAGCGGAAUUCCCGGUGUAGUGGUGAAAUACGUAGAUAUCUGGAAGAACACCAGUGGCGAAGGCGGUCUCUUGGUCCAAUACUGACGCUAAGGCGCGAAAGCGUGGGGAGCAAACAGGAUUAGAUACCCUGGUAGUCCACGCUGUAAACGAUGAAUACUAGGUGUCGGGUCGUAAGGUUCGGUACCGAAGCUAACGCAUUAAGUAUUCCACCUGGGGAGUACGAUCGCAAGGUUGAA
Molecule: ribosomal RNA, 650 nt
Filed under: uncultured bacterium
Lineage: Bacteria
Description: bacterial SSU rRNA
Rfam family: Bacterial small subunit ribosomal RNA
Source: RNAcentral